AGAGUUUGAUCAUGGCUCAGAUUGAACGCUGGCGGCAUGCCUUACACAUGCAAGUCGAACGGCAGCGCGGACUUCGGUCUGGCGGCGAGUGGCGAACGGGUGAGUAAUACAUCGGAACGUACCCUGUUGUGGGGGAUAACUAGUCGAAAGAUUAGCUAAUACCGCAUACGACCUGAGGGUGAAAUGGGGGACCGCAAGGCCUCACGCAGCAGGAGCGGCCGAUGUCUGAUUAGCUAGUUGGUGGGGUAAAGGCCCACCAAGGCGACGAUCAGUAGCUGGUCUGAGAGGACGAUCAGCCACACUGGGACUUGAGACACGGCCCAGACUCCUACGGGAGGCAGCAGUGGGGAAUUUUGGACAAUGGGGCAACCCUGAUCCAGCAAUGCCGCGUGUGUGAAGAAGGCCUUCGGGUUGUAAAGCACUUUUGUCCGGAAAGAAAUCGCGCUGGUUAAUACCUGGCGUGGAUGACGGUACCGGAAGAAUAAGCACCGGCUAACUACGUG
Molecule: ribosomal RNA, 503 nt
Filed under: uncultured bacterium
Lineage: Bacteria
Description: bacterial SSU rRNA
Rfam family: Bacterial small subunit ribosomal RNA
Source: RNAcentral